This 495-nucleotide ribosomal RNA is filed under the name uncultured bacterium. RNAcentral describes it as "bacterial SSU rRNA". It matches the Rfam family "Bacterial small subunit ribosomal RNA", at positions 903 to 1397 of the family's 1533-position model. The record is from RNAcentral.
AAAUGAAUAGACGGGGACCCGCACAAGUAGCGGAGCAUGUGGUUUAAUUCGAAGCAACGCGAAGAACCUUACCUAAGCUUGACAUCCCAUUGACCUCUCCCUAAUCGGAGAUUUCCCUUCGGGGACAGUGGUGACAGGUGGUGCAUGGUUGUCGUCAGCUCGUGUCGUGAGAUGUUGGGUUAAGUCCCGCAACGAGCGCAACCCUUGCCUUUAGUUGCCAGCAUUAAGUUGGGCACUCUAGAGGGACUGCCGAGGAUAACUCGGAGGAAGGUGGGGAUGACGUCAAAUCAUCAUGCCCCUUAUGCUUAGGGCUACACACGUGCUACAAUGGGUGGUACAGAGGGUUGCCAAACCGUGAGGUGGAGCUAAUCCCUUAAAGCCAUUCUCAGUUCGGAUUGUAGGCUGAAACUCGCCUACAUGAAGCUGGAGUUACUAGUAAUCGCAGAUCAGAAUGCUGCGGUGAAUGCGUUCCCGGGUCUUGUACACACCGCCCGU